UUCCGGUUGAUCCUGCCGGACCCGACUGCUAUCGGGGUGGGGCUAAGCCAUGGGAGUCGCACGACCCGCCGCUGCGGGGAGUGGCGGACGGCUGAGUAACACGUGGCUAACCUACCCUCGGGACGGGGAUAACCCCGGGAAACUGGGGCUAAUCCUCGAUAGGCGAGGAGGCCUGGAAUGGUUCCUCGCCCAAAGGGGGCACCGGGGGUUAUCGCCGGUGUCGCCGCCCGAGGAUGGGGCUGCGGCCCAUCAGGUAGUUGGCGGGGUAACGGCCCGCCAAGCCGAUAACGGGUAGGGGCCGUGAGAGCGGGAGCCCCCAGAUGGGCACUGAGACAAGGGCCCAGGCCCUACGGGGUGCACCAGGCGCGAAACCUCCGCAAUGCGGGCAACCGUGACGGGGUCACCCCGAGUGCCACCCAUGUGGUGGCUUUUCCCCGCUGUAGGAAGGCGGGGGAAUAAGCGGGGGGCAAGACUGGUGUCAGCCGCCGCGGUAAUACCAGCCCCGCGAGUGGUCGGGAUGUUUACUGGGCCUAAAGCGCCCGUAGCCGGCCCGGUAAGUCUCUGCCUAAAGCCCCGGGCUCAACCCGGGGAGUGGCGGAGAUACUGCCGGGCUAGGGGGCGGGAGAGGCCGAGGGUACUCCCGGGGUAGGGGCGAAAUCCUAUAAUCCCGGGAGGACCACCAGUGGCGAAGGCGCUCGGCUGGAACGCGCCCGACGGUGAGGGGCGAAGGCCGGGGGAGCAAACCGGAUUAGAUACCCGGGUAGUCCCGGCUGUAAACGAUGCGGGCUAGGUGUUGGGCGGGCGGUAGUGCCCGCCCAGUGCCGCAGGGAAGCCGUUAAGCCCGCCGCCUGGGGAGUACGGCCGCAAGGCUGAAACUUAAAGGAAUUGGCGGGGGAGUACCACAAGGGGUGGAGCCUGCGGCUUAAUUGGAGUCAACGCCGGGAACCUCCACCGGGGGCGACAGCAGGAUGAGGGUCAGCCUAACGGGCUUACCCGUACGCGCUGAGGAGAGGUGCAUGGCCGUCGCCAGCUCGUGCCGUGAGGUGUCCGGUUAAGUCCGGCAACGAGCGAGACCCA
Molecule: ribosomal RNA, 1077 nt
Filed under: uncultured crenarchaeote
Lineage: Archaea; Thermoproteati; Thermoproteota
Description: bacterial SSU rRNA
Rfam family: Archaeal small subunit ribosomal RNA
Source: RNAcentral